This 253-nucleotide ribosomal RNA is filed under the name uncultured bacterium. RNAcentral describes it as "partial 16S ribosomal RNA". It matches the Rfam family "Bacterial small subunit ribosomal RNA", at positions 524 to 776 of the family's 1533-position model. The record is from RNAcentral.
UACAGAGGUCUCAAGCGUUGCUCGGAUUCAUUGGGCGUAAAGGGCGCGUAGGCGGCGGGGUAAGUCGGGUGUGAAAUCUCAGAGCUCAACUCUGAAACUGCACUCGAUACUGCUCUGCUUGAGGACUGGAGAGGAGACUGGAAUUCACGGUGUAGCAGUGAAAUGCGUAGAUAUCGUGAGGAAGACCAGUGGCGAAGGCGGGUCUCUGGACAGUUCCUGACGCUGAGGCGCGAAGGCCAGGGGAGCAAACGGG